ACGGCGCAACGCGACACGACGCUGACACUGACGAUCACAAUCACGACUACCAUGAAUUGACACUGACGCUGAUUUGAUCAUCAUGAUCUGAUAUGACACUAUGUUAUAUCAGAUCAUCUUAGAUCAUCUUAGAUCACAUCGUCUGGUCCCGUCUCAACUCUGAGACGACAUAAGACGAUACUAUACUAUAUUAUACUAUACUGGCUACUGUACUGGCUGGUGAAUGGCUCGGCUCGAGAGCCGAUGACGGACGUGCCAAGCUGCGAUAAGCCUGAGGGAGCCGCACGGAGGCCAAGAACUCAGGAUCUCCGAAUGGGAAUCCCCACUGCAAUUGCAUCUCGCAAUAGGGAACGCCCCGAAUUGAAACAUCUUAGUAGGGGCAGGAACAGAAAGCAACCGCGAUAUCGUUAGUAACCGCGAGUGAACACGACCUAGUCCAAACCGAAUCCGCAAGGAAAUGUGGUGUUCGGACCAACAACCACGAAUCAGACGAGCUCGAGAAAUCUCCUGGAACGGAGUACGAUACAGGGUGACAGUCCCGUAUCGGACUUACCUGAUUCCGCGUUGACUCCAGAGUCGCAAGGGUUGGCUAUCCCUUGUCAAUUCCGCAGACAUCAACUGCGAAGACUACACACUCCUCGAGACCGAUAGCGAACAAGUAGCGUGAGCGAACGCUGCAAAGCACCCCGAACAGGGCGGUGCAAUAGGGCCUGAACUCAGUCAGUGAUAGAACGACGAGGCAUACAAGGUCCCACUCCAAACGACCUGAGAGCAAUCUCACUGUAGAACGAGUGGGAAGCCGAUGUCGCGUCGUACGUUUUGAAAAACGACCCAGGGAGUGCAUCCACCCGGCAAGUCUAACUGGUCCACCCAGGAAGACGCAGGGAAACCGAUAUGACCGCAGUCACGAGCUCUGCUCGCGACCAGGGUCACCGUACUUACAUGCGGGGAGUCGCGUGGAUGCGACCCGAAACCAAGUGAUCUACGCGCGGGCAAGGUGAAGCGUGCCGAAAGGUGCGUGGAGGCCUGCUAGGGAUGGUGUCCUACAAUACCCUCCCGUGACCCACGCGUAGGGGUGAAAGGCCCAUCGAACUUGGCAACAGCUGGUUCCAGCCGACACAUAUCGAAGUAUGCCCUCAGCCGAGGUAGUCUGCGAGGUAGAGCUACCGAUUGGAUAGUCCGCCUCCGAGAGGAGUCGGCUAUGCUGUCAAACUCCAAACUUGCAGACGCCGCAGACGCUGGGAAUCCGGAUUGCGGGGUAAGCCUGUGAUCCGUGAGGGAGACAACCCAGAGCAAGGUUAAGGUCCCCAAGUGUGGAUUAAGUGCAACUGAAGGUUGUCUCGAGCCCUAAACAGCCGGGAGGUGAGCUUAGAAGCAGCUACCCUCUAAGAAAAGCGUAACAGCUUACCGGCCGAGGUUCGAGGCGCCCAAAAUGAUCGGGGCUCAAAUCCACCACCGAGACCCUGCAAUACUAUUCAACAAGUAACUUUGUAGGCUUGGCGUACUGACCGGACGGAAGUACGGACGAGAGUUCGUGUGGACCGCUCAGUAACGAUAAUCCUGGUCACAGUAGCAGCGAUAGUCGGGUGUGACCCCCGACGGCCUUACGAGCAAGGGUUCCUCGGCACUGCUAAUCAGCCGAGGGUUAGCCGGUCCUAAGUCUGACCGUAACUCGACUCAGACAAACAGGGAAACUGGUUAAUAUUCCAGUGCCAUCGUGUGUUAUCGAACGCUU
RNAcentral lists this ribosomal RNA (1735 nucleotides) under Haloquadratum walsbyi J07HQW2. RNAcentral's name for it is "partial 23S ribosomal RNA". The stretch from base 196 to 1735 matches the Rfam family "Archaeal large subunit ribosomal RNA", at positions 1 to 1563 of the family's 2987-position model. The record is from RNAcentral. Lineage: Archaea; Methanobacteriati; Methanobacteriota; Halobacteria; Halobacteriales; Haloferacaceae.